CUUCUUCUAAAAUCAAGCAUUGCCAGUUCUUCUUUUUAUUCUUCCAUCUCCUUUUCAGUAACUGUUUCACUUCCAAUAACAAAAACGAAUCCUCGCUCAUUACACUACAACCGUUUCAACUUUCAUCUUUUUGUUACAUCUCUCUCUUUCUUCUUCCAGGUUAUUCUUUGAAAAAUCACUCUCAUCUCUCUUACAAACAAAAAUCAAAAGAAUGGUUCAAAGUGAAAUCAAGAAAGAGUUUCAUGAAUCAUUCAGAAUGGUGA
Vicia faba (fava bean) is the source of this 263-nucleotide non-coding RNA. NCBI's taxonomy places the organism in Eukaryota, Viridiplantae, Streptophyta, Magnoliopsida, Fabales, Fabaceae. The record is from the annotation of a GenBank genome assembly.